Long non-coding RNA from Wyeomyia smithii (pitcher-plant mosquito), 1031 nucleotides. RefSeq lists it as uncharacterized. The transcript has 5 exons. Lineage: Eukaryota; Metazoa; Arthropoda; Insecta; Diptera; Culicidae. The record is from RefSeq and is a predicted model, not a curated record.
AAGUAUGACGGGAAAAAAUAUGGAACAAUGUGAAAUAAAACAGUAAGGUAUUGAAAUCCACCCAGUUAUUAACUUUCGUGAUAUCGCCAACGUCAACUUCGAAGACUCCAACUGAUCGAAGGAAAUCAACCAUUACUACCGCCUGCCUUUCGUAUUCUUCGAUGUUAUCAACGAAUAGUGCUCCCGAUAUAAAAACAUUAUUCCUAUCAACAUUGCACAGGUUUUCACGCACGCUGGCGACAUUCAUUGCUUUCAGGUUCAAACACUUUUUGAGCAUCCCCGGUUUAUACUUAUCUGAUUCAUCUGCUUCGAUGGUCAAUAACAUCGCAUUGUGAUGAAUUUCGUUUUUAUUCAUUGGAUCCGUCAGAGCCAAUUGACAAAUUUUUUUUUUUGUUAAGGAAUUAGAAUUACGUUGUCCAUUGAUGUGAACUUUUGUAAUAAAUUGACAAAAAUUUGUGUCAGUAGUGAACACCAAGUCAAGAAAACAAUUAUUUUAGUUUGGCAAAUUGCAAACUUGCAACAGUCCAACAGAGAGAAAACUGUCAACAACAGCUAUCUCGGUUUGCGAGUUGAUUCGGUUUGGUUCAAAUCACCGAGUACGACGACGUCAUCAUUUGGGCCAAUACAUUCAAUUACUGAUUCGACGAACGAGCAGAAAGAGCGAUAACGAUCAACACUAGAGCCACUGCGUGUUCUGUGCUGGCAACGUGAUUGUGGACAGCAAUCAAGACCCCCGGAUUUUUUUUCACUAUUAGAAAUAUUUCUAUCGCAGCGAUAUACGUUCAAGUGCGGAGGAAAAAGCGACCUAUCUGUUACAGUUGAGUCCAAGUUUUGGAGCAUUUAACAAAACUGUAGAAGUCAAUGAGCGCGAAUUCAAAACUGGGUCAGAUGGAUGGUUAUUACUGUGUGCUGGUAAGUGGUGUAAGGAAAUUGUCAGGAUUGGACUCGACAUCUCUACAUUCGGCUCGAAAUGGCAUCGACACAGGUUCAUUCACAAAUUCACGAAAAUAAAUACCUUUUUGCCAGCUCGA